GUAGGUGGCAAGCGUUGUCCGGGAAUUAUUGGGGCGUAAAGCGCGCGCAGGCGGUUCUUUAAGUCUGAUGUGAAGGGCCCACGGGCUCAACCGUGGAGGGUCAUUGGAAACUGGAGAACUUGAGUACAGAAGAGGAAAGCGGAAUUCCACGUGUAGCGGUGAAAUGCGUAGAGAUGUGGAGGAACACCAGUGGCGAAGGCGGCUUUCUGGUCUGUAACUGACGCUGAGGCGCGAAAGCGUGGGGAGCAAACAGGAUUAGAUACCCUGGUAGUCCACGCCGUAAACGAUGAGUGCUAAGUGUUAGGGGGUUUCCGCCCCUUAGUGCUGCAGCUAACGCAUUAAGCACUCCGCCUGGGGAGUACGGCCGCAAAGGCUGA
This 377-nucleotide ribosomal RNA is filed under the name uncultured organism. RNAcentral describes it as "partial 16S ribosomal RNA". It matches the Rfam family "Bacterial small subunit ribosomal RNA", at positions 527 to 897 of the family's 1533-position model. The record is from RNAcentral.